This 756-nucleotide ribosomal RNA is filed under the name uncultured archaeon. RNAcentral describes it as "bacterial SSU rRNA". It matches the Rfam family "Archaeal small subunit ribosomal RNA", at positions 104 to 859 of the family's 1478-position model. The record is from RNAcentral.
AUAACUUACCCUUAGGACUGGGAUAACUCUGGGAAACUGGGGAUAAUACCGGAUAUUAGGCUAUGCCUGGAAUGGUUUGCCUUUGAAACGUUCUUUUCGCCUAAGGAUCGAUCUGCGGCUGAUUAGGUCGUUGGUGGGGUAAUGGCCCACCAAGCCUAUGAUCGGUACGGGUUGUGAGAGCAAGAGCCCGGAGAUGGAGCCUGAGACAAGGUUCCAGACCCUACGGGGUGCAGCAGGCGCGAAACCUCCACAAUGUACGAAAGUGCGUUGGGGGAAUCCCAAGUGUUAUUCUUAACAGAAUAGCUUUUCAUUAGUGUAAAAAGCUUUUAGAAUAAGAGCUGGGCAAGACCGGUGCCAGCCGCCGCGGUAACACCGGCAGCUCGAGUGGUAGCUGUUUUUAUUGGGCCUAAAGCGUUCGUAGCCGGUUUGAUUAGUCUUUGGUGAAAGCUUGUAGCUUAACUAUAAGAAUUGCUGGAGAUACUAUCAGACUUGAAGUCGGGAGAGGUUAGAGGUACUACCGGGGUAGGGGUGAAAUCCUAUAAUCCUGGGAGGACCACCUGUGGCGAAAGCGUCUAACUAGAACGAUCUUGACGGUGAGUAACGAAAGCCAGUGGCGCGAACCGGAUUAGAUACCCGGGUAGUCCUGGCCGUAAACGAUGUGGACUUGGUGUUGGAAUGGCUUCGAGUUGUUCCAGUGCCGAAGGGAAGCUGUUAAGUCCACCGCCUGGGAAGUACGGUCGCAAGACUGAAACUUAA